UAGGGAAUCUUCGGCAAUGGGGGGAACCCUGACCGAGCAACGCCGCGUGAGUGAAGAAGGUUUUCGGAUCGUAAAACUCUGUUGUUAGAGAAGAACAGCGCAUAGAGUAACUGUUAUGCGUGUGACGGUAUCUAACCAGAAAGCCACGGCUAACUACGUGCCAGCAGCCGCGGUAAUACGUAGGUGGCAAGCGUUGUCCGGAAUUAUUGGGCGUAAAGCGAGCGCAGGCGGUCAAUUAAGUCUGAUGUGAAAGCCCCCGGCUCAACCGGGGAGGGUCAUUGGAAACUGGUUGACUUGAGGGCAGAAGGGGGGAGUGGAAUUCCAUGUGUAGCGGUGAAAUGCGUGGGUAAAUGGAAGAACACCAGUGGGGAAGGCGACUCUCUGGUCUGUAACUGACGCUGAGGCUCGAAAGCGUGGGUAGCAAACAGG
This 429-nucleotide ribosomal RNA is filed under the name Bacteroidota bacterium. Its description in RNAcentral is "Bacteroidetes bacterium partial 16S ribosomal RNA". It matches the Rfam family "Bacterial small subunit ribosomal RNA", at positions 355 to 776 of the family's 1533-position model. Lineage: Bacteria; Pseudomonadati; Bacteroidota. The record is from RNAcentral.